GUGAGCUGCGCCAUGCUGCCGGCGGCCCCCAGCAGCCCGCGCGCCUUCCCGGAGCCCCUCCCGCCGCUGGGCACCGCGCGUGCGCCGAGGGGCGGCCUCCAUGGCGGCGCCGGCGGGAGCCCCGCCGAGGGCUGCUCCCCGGGCACUGGCGUACCCCGCCUGCGUAACGGCGCUGUGAGCAGUUCCCCCCCGACCCCCCCCUGCCGUGCGCACCCGGACCUGGUGCGCGUUCGCCUGCUUGUGACUCGUGGCUGGGGGAGUCGCCGUGCCCUCAUCGCCCCGUUAGGGCGUUACUGUCCCCUCGCGAGGGUUUACCUGUUGGAGAAGUGUCCUCAGGGGCAGCUCUGGAGGAAGUGUUUAAUUGUGCGUGUAACCUGCAUGGAUUCCAGGGAUCCAUCACUGGGACAGAGCGACUCUCCUGCAGCCUUGCCGAUCACCGUACGCCUCUUGGGCAGCUCUGCAUCCUCAGCUGCACCCGCGCGGCCGCCUCCGCCUCUGUCCGCAGAGGAGUUCCACCUGCUCAACCCAAAUGGCCAGCCACUCUGCGAGCUGCAGCCCCUCGGAGCGCCCAGCGCGCACAUGAUGAUUGUUGCCAGCCAGUCAGAAAAUGGGCAGGUGCUUCACGUCAUUCCUUCUGCCCAGCCAGGAAUGGCCCAAGUGAUAAUUCCUCAGGGUCAGCUUCUGGAUGUCACCAGCACUCAGGAUGCUUCAGAAGAGAAGUGCGGUGAUGGGAACUUGCAGACUGUGGCAGUGGCUGCUAUAGCAGACAGUGCAAGUGGUUAUAUUCUCCAUCCACAAGCAUCUCUCUCCAUAUCAAAAAAAUCAGCAGCCAGGAUAUUACAGGACUCCUUUCCCAUGCCUCUCCAGUCUUUGCCAACAAAUGCACCUGCGUGGGCACGCCGUCUCUGGAACUGUGAGAAAAUUGGGGACUCAUACCGCGGCUAUUGUGUGAGCGAGACAGAAUUAGAGAGUGUUCUAACGCUACACAAGCAGCAAACACAAAGUGUGUGGGGGACGCGCCAGUCUCCAAGCCCGGCCAAACCCGCCACACGGUUGAUGUGGAAAUCUCAGUAUGUCCCAUAUGAUGGGAUCCCCUUUAUCAAUGCAGGAAGCAGAGCCAUUGUAAUGGAGUGCCAGUAUGGUCCAAGGAGAAAAGGGUUUCAGUCCAAAAAAGCUGGUGAGCAGGAAAGCACUUCUGGUUAUCUGUACAAAGCCACUUGUCCAGCAAGGAUCUAUAUUAAAAAAGUUCAAAAGUUUCCAGAGUACAGAGUUCCUACUGACCCUAAAAUUGACAAGAAAAUCAUAAGAAUGGAGCAGGAGAAAGCAUUCAACAUGCUGAAGAAGAACUUGAUAGAGGCUGGUGGUAUUCUCAGGUGGUAUGUGCAGUUACCCACUCAGCAAGCCCACCAAUAUCAUGAAAUGGAAACUUCCUGCCUCCCUUCUUCACCCUCCCAUUUUCCUGCUGCUUUUCCGGAGGAGGAGGAGGAAGUUGUUAGAGAUGAGAACUGCACUCUGCCUUCUCGCCUUCAUCCUCAAGUGGCAGACAAGAUUCGAGAACUGGUGUCUCAAGGAAUUGAGCAAGUCUAUGCAGUGAGGAAGCAGCUAAGAAAGUAUGUGGAAAGAGAAUUAUUCAAGCCUGAUGAAGUGCCAGAGAGACAUAACCUAUCCUUCUUUCCCACUGUGAAUGACAUCAAGAACCACAUUCAUGAAGUGCAGAAAUCCUUGAGAAAUGGCGAGUUGGUAUAUAAUUCAGAAAGCAUUCCAGCAACGCUACAGUGGACCACAGACAGUGGGAAUGUUCUCACAGAGACAGUGACUGUUACGUUUGCCUCACCACCUUCUGAUGGGAGCUCACCGGGGGAGUCAGUCAUCACCAAAGCAGAAUCCAACCAGAGUGGGGAGACCUUGCUAUCAGAAAGAGCUCAGCUGUUGUCUUCUCUCUCUUCACUUCAGCCCAAGAUAUUUGCACAACUUCAGGGAUUACAGCUGCAAUCAAACUUUACCUCCACAAAUGGGUCAACAGCCCUGAUAGCUGUAAAUAACCAUUCUCAUCCCAAUUCUGCAAGUCUCUUGGAUUCCAUAGGGAGUGCAGUAACCAACCAUUCUCCAGUACUUGGUCAAGGGCACAAUCCGCAAAAAGGUGCUGGCCUAGCACAGCACAGCGCCUCUGCUUUUGGGACUCCUCCUGGUACUGAUCAGAAUGUGGUCACCGUGGGCCAGCUGGUAGCACUCGAUGGGGACUCCAGAAGCCUAGAAGGAGAAGUCCAGCAGAUUCUGUUGGGAAAUGUACAGACUAUUCCAGUACGGAUUGUGGAAAGCCAGCCUGCACUUAUCGAAGAUAAUACAGAGGCUGGUAUCUGUAUGAGCGAAGUUAAACAAGAGCCAAGAGAAAAAGCGCUGUCUGUGGAACCAGAUAAAAUCAGAGACUGCCAGAGAUCUUCCUCUGUUUAGCUCUGUGAAGGCUGUAAGGAUUUUUCAUAUUAGAGGACUCUAAAAGUCUUGGAAGGAAAGUCAGAUACUCUCAAAAUAAUGCCAUUCUUUUUGAAUGGUAUUGUGACAUUCAGACUGGGUAUGUUUUACAAUAGUUUGGACCAACAACUGUUUUGAUUUACAACUGAUGUGACUUACUGCCAAUUCCAAGUCUAUUCAUUUACCAUGUGAACCACCACCUCUCUCUUCUAUUUCAUGUUUUGAGUAAUUUGGAUGCUAUCCAUAUGGACCAUUUUGGUCAUCAUUUCUGAAAGUCUUCCACAAUUUGUUUUAGAAUGUGGAUUAAAAUACUUGGUUUGCUUUUCUCCCUGAGACCAUGAACUGUUACAGCACUACACAGACCGCAGAAUCUGCCAGCUCCCAGACUGUGGAAUCCAACAGCAAAAUUCAUCAACACAAUAGUUUUGUGACAAAACAAAGGUCUGAGAGACUACAUUUCAAAGCGAUGAAGGACAUGAAUGCUUAAGAAAAUGCAACUUUGACCUGAUCAUGUUAAUGGUGUGAAGAUCAAGGAGAGAAGAAAGGUCAGAAGGUAUCCAGCAGGUCUAUCCUACAAGCACCAACUAAGGAUCGCUUACCUCUGAGAGUACUCCAGUUAAAACCAGCAAGAAGCCAGACUGGAAACAGAAGAGGAAGUGAAGUUUGUACAAAGCUGCUUGCAGGAGAUAGAAAGCUAUCAAGGAUGCAGCUCGGGAUUGCAGUUUCUUCUGACUGAAGUGGUUCACUUUGAAUGGUAAAUGUUUUUAUGGUAAGCAAUUGUUUGUAGCUGAUCUUGGUGUUACUUAUGCUAUGAACUCAUAUGUAAUAAAAGCUAGAAUGGUAACCACAUAUUUGCUUUAUCUUCUGUGCAGUAGUUAUCUUCUAAAUGUAAGCUGGUAUAACGUUUGUUGUCUUAAUUGUUGACAAAGCUGCUACCAUGUCUGAGGUUUUGUACAUGGAAGGAGACGGGGAAGGUGAGAACCUUCUUGAGUUCCUACUGAGAAGAGAUUAUCUGAGGAAUGACGACUUCACUAUUUUUAAACGUACUUGAUGAGGGGGAAAGUAUUGCAUUAAUUGAUAUUUGCUUCUCGCUAUCCAAAUCUAUUUUAACUGGCAGUAAAUUAAAUUGAUUUUCCCCAUGUUGAGUCUGUUUUGCUCGUGACUGUAAGUGGUAAGUGAUCUCCCUGUCUUUGAACCCAUGGGCUUUUUCAGCCUGUUUUUAUCCCUGACCUGUUAAGAAGGGGAGAGUGGAAGAGCGGCUAAGGUGGACAGUGCAACCUACCACAGUUUCUCCAUCAUCUGAGGUAUGAACCUCACAGUAUUCCCUAACCUAGGAAAUAGUGGACUGUGGUGACACAGGAAGAGGUCCUACUUUGAUAUGAGUGAUGUCUAAACCGUUUCAGAUGGAUGGGACUAAUGAAAGUGUUUCUUCAUGGCAGCUGCUUCUCUGGAGUGAAUUCUUACCUGAUUAACAGGGCUUCCUGGGUAAUCCCACAAGUACUUACUGAAAACUUGUAUUUGAUCUCAAGUCACAAUGACAAAUAGUGAUCUCUUUGGUUGCAAACAAAUAUUACUUUGAGUUCUUUAAGCAAGGCACAAAAUUGAUCACAUUUUACUUCUUAAAAAGCCAUUCUAUGUGUAGAAAGGAGUGCACAGUGUUUGAAUUGGGGCUUGUAUUUCUGAACAUGUUCUGGCUGGGCCUUUCAACUUCUGCUCAUUCACUAUUUCCCUGUAGUAAAUCUCAACUGUGGUGUUGACUGAGGAACCUGUCUAGCCCAUUACAUUUCUACUGGGUAUCAACCAUAUUUGCGUUCUACAGAUUGAAAUGUAGGGGAGGCAUUCUGAAAAAAUAAUGCUGCUGCAGUACUUUCUCCUUCAUCUACUCUGGCAGUGUUGCUCUUGCUGAUGAUGAGGAUGGUAGCAGCAUCUUCAGAGUGUUAUAUCUGCGCUUCAGAAGGGGAUAAAGCCUGGGGAAGCUCAAUCUAUGAAAAAAAAAAUGUCUCUAUUACUUCUCUUCCAGAUGUAUGAACUUCUUUGCAAAAUGAUCUGAGGUAUCACUAGUGAGAUUGGCUAACGGCUGCAAGAUGGAACUGUUUUGCUGUGGAUAGGUGAUAACAAAAAAUAUCAUAGUCAGUCAGCAUAAUACUUAUUAGUAAGAUAAGGUCUUUCAGACAUUGACCAAAGACCAACACUUUGGUGAUAUGAUGGCAUUUAUUCUGAGAUUGCAAACAAAAGUAAUGAUUAAGACAUUGCGGAAAGCAAUGGCAAAUAAAGCGCUUCAUAAAAUACAAA
Molecule: RNA transcript, 4761 nt
Organism: Numida meleagris (helmeted guineafowl)
Lineage: Eukaryota; Metazoa; Chordata; Aves; Galliformes; Numididae
Gene: CARF
Gene name: calcium responsive transcription factor
Exons: 18
Source: RefSeq, a predicted model, not a curated record